This 500-nucleotide ribosomal RNA is filed under the name uncultured bacterium. RNAcentral's name for it is "bacterial SSU rRNA". It matches the Rfam family "Bacterial small subunit ribosomal RNA", at positions 40 to 518 of the family's 1533-position model. The record is from RNAcentral.
CGGCGUGCUUAACACAUGCAAGUCGAACGUGAUCCAGAGCUUGCUCUGGUGAAAGUGGCGCACGGGUGAGUAUCGCGUGGAUAACCUACCCUGGUGUCUGGGAUAACAUCUCGAAAGGGGUGCUAAUACCGGAUAAGCCCACGGGAUCUUCGGAUUCUGCGGGAAAAGGUGGCCUCUAUUUAUAAGCUACCGUAUCAGGAUGGGUCCGCGUACCAUUAGCUAGUUGGUGGGGUAAUGGCCUACCAAGGCUACGAUGGUUAGCUGGUCUGAGAGGAUGAUCAGCCACACUGGAACUGAGACACGGUCCAGACUCCUACGGGAGGCAGCAGUGGGGAAUUUUGCGCAAUGGGGGAAACCCUGACGCAGCAACGCCGCGUGAGUGAUGAAGGCUUUCGGGUCGUAAAACUCUGUUGUUAGGGAAGAACAAGUAUCGGAGUAACUGCCGGUACCUUGACGGUACCUAACCAGAAAGCCACGGCUAACUACGUGCCAGCCGCCGC